This 75-nucleotide transfer RNA is filed under the name Bacillota bacterium. RNAcentral describes it as "tRNA-Trp". It matches the Rfam family "tRNA". Rfam says of the family: Transfer RNA (tRNA) molecules are approximately 80 nucleotides in length. Their secondary structure includes four short double-helical elements and three loops (D, anti-codon, and T loops). Lineage: Bacteria; Bacillati; Bacillota. The record is from RNAcentral. RNAcentral also lists the same sequence under 3 other names.
AGGGGAGUGGCUCAACGGUAGAGCAACGGUCUCCAAAACCGUGGGUUGCGGGUUCAAAUCCUGUCUCCCCUGCCA